This 1476-nucleotide ribosomal RNA is filed under the name Enterococcus durans. RNAcentral's name for it is "bacterial SSU rRNA". It matches the Rfam family "Bacterial small subunit ribosomal RNA". The record is from RNAcentral. Lineage: Bacteria; Bacillati; Bacillota; Bacilli; Lactobacillales; Enterococcaceae.
UGGCGGCGUGCCUAAUACAUGCAAGUCGUACGCUUCUUUUUCCACCGGAGCUUGCUCCACCGGAAAAAGAAGAGUGGCGAACGGGUGAGUAACACGUGGGUAACCUGCCCAUCAGAAGGGGAUAACACUUGGAAACAGGUGCUAAUACCGUAUAACAAUCGAAACCGCAUGGUUUUGAUUUGAAAGGCGCUUUCGGGUGUCGCUGAUGGAUGGACCCGCGGUGCAUUAGCUAGUUGGUGAGGUAACGGCUCACCAAGGCCACGAUGCAUAGCCGACCUGAGAGGGUGAUCGGCCACAUUGGGACUGAGACACGGCCCAAACUCCUACGGGAGGCAGCAGUAGGGAAUCUUCGGCAAUGGACGAAAGUCUGACCGAGCAACGCCGCGUGAGUGAAGAAGGUUUUCGGAUCGUAAAACUCUGUUGUUAGAGAAGAACAAGGAUGAGAGUAACUGUUCAUCCCUUGACGGUAUCUAACCAGAAAGCCACGGCUAACUACGUGCCAGCAGCCGCGGUAAUACGUAGGUGGCAAGCGUUGUCCGGAUUUAUUGGGCGUAAAGCGAGCGCAGGCGGUUUCUUAAGUCUGAUGUGAAAGCCCCCGGCUCAACCGGGGAGGGUCAUUGGAAACUGGGAGACUUGAGUGCAGAAGAGGAGAGUGGAAUUCCAUGUGUAGCGGUGAAAUGCGUAGAUAUAUGGAGGAACACCAGUGGCGAAGGCGGCUCUCUGGUCUGUAACUGACGCUGAGGCUCGAAAGCGUGGGGAGCAAACAGGAUUAGAUACCCUGGUAGUCCACGCCGUAAACGAUGAGUGCUAAGUGUUGGAGGGUUUCCGCCCUUCAGUGCUGCAGCUAACGCAUUAAGCACUCCGCCUGGGGAGUACGACCGCAAGGUUGAAACUCAAAGGAAUUGACGGGGGCCCGCACAAGCGGUGGAGCAUGUGGUUUAAUUCGAAGCAACGCGAAGAACCUUACCAGGUCUUGACAUCCUUUGACCACUCUAGAGAUAGAGCUUCCCCUUCGGGGGCAAAGUGACAGGUGGUGCAUGGUUGUCGUCAGCUCGUGUCGUGAGAUGUUGGGUUAAGUCCCGCAACGAGCGCAACCCUUAUUGUUAGUUGCCAUCAUUUAGUUGGGCACUCUAGCAAGACUGCCGGUGACAAACCGGAGGAAGGUGGGGAUGACGUCAAAUCAUCAUGCCCCUUAUGACCUGGGCUACACACGUGCUACAAUGGGAAGUACAACGAGUCGCGAAGUCGCGAGGCUAAGCUAAUCUCUUAAAGCUUCUCUCAGUUCGGAUUGUAGGCUGCAACUCGCCUACAUGAAGCCGGAAUCGCUAGUAAUCGCGGAUCAGCACGCCGCGGUGAAUACGUUCCCGGGCCUUGUACACACCGCCCGUCACACCACGAGAGUUUGUAACACCCGAAGUCGGUGAGGUAACCUUUUGGAGCCAGCCGCCUAAGGUGGGAUAGAUGAUUGGGGUGAAG